This 252-nucleotide ribosomal RNA is filed under the name uncultured bacterium. Its description in RNAcentral is "partial 16S ribosomal RNA". It matches the Rfam family "Bacterial small subunit ribosomal RNA", at positions 524 to 776 of the family's 1533-position model. The record is from RNAcentral.
UACGUAGGGGGCUAGCGUUAUCCGGAAUUACUGGGCGUAAAGGGUGCGUAGGUGGUUUCUUAAGUCAGAGGUGAAAGGCUACGGCUCAACCGUAGUAAGCCUUUGAAACUGGGGAACUUGAGUGCAGGAGAGGAGAGUGGAAUUCCUAGUGUAGCGGUGAAAUGCAUAGAUAUUAGGAGGAACACCAGUUGCGAAGGCGGCUCUCUGGACUGUAACUGACACUGAGGCACGAAAGCGUGGGGAGCAAACAGG